CAGUGGUGAACCCAGGCAGAGAACACACAGACUCACGGCUGGAUCAGCCCGAAAUUAAUUUUAUUUUUCUACAUAUUAGGUAUGCCAAAAGAACGAAGGGGGAGUGAGUGACUGAAACUAAAGACUAAAUCAACGUGAAACUAAAGCCAGGAAAAACUCUAACUAAGGAACUCACUACGGACUGGAAGGGGGGCAGACAGGCUACCGGAGACCGGCGGUCCAGAUUUGUUCUCCGCUGGGGUGGACGAGCGGCAGAGAGUGGUUGUGGCAGUCCUGGAGAUCCAGAGGCUGGGGCAGCGGGGACAGGCUGAGGCAGGCAGGGACGAGACGCCUCCUCCUCCAGAGGUCCCUCUCUAUCUCCCCACACAUGCACCAACCACUGGAACACAUCUCCAAAGUUCUGCUGGGCCAGCUCAGCUUCCCCUCAGAAGAAGUGCUGCCACCUGCCAGAUGAAGGAGCCUUUUGAGAGGCAGCUGGCAUCGUGAUUGGACUGUACUUUGGUCUGUUCCAAUCCAGCUUCAGCUCCAGAGACGGCAGGCGGGACGAGUCAACGGAGGCCGGGUGGACGAAGGCAUGCAGCUGAGUACAAUCCAGAAAACAACGGAGGAGGAGUGCAGUGGCCCAGAGCCAGAACAAGCAGAGUAUCAUCGUAUGUCUCUUAGAAAACAUCAUAGUAUAGCCUUUGGGAUGAAAAAACGCCAUCAUAUACAUCGUAUAUUAUGCAAAUAAGUCAAAGGAAAGAGACAUACAUUGUAGAAUUGUAGUAAUUGUGGGCUGAUUGAUUUACUGCUUAUCAGUAUUUUAUUUUUUACUGAUUUAUGGUAAUAAAUACUUUUAAAAAUGGU
This is a long non-coding RNA of Amphiprion ocellaris (clown anemonefish), 846 nucleotides long. RefSeq lists it as uncharacterized. The record is from RefSeq and is a predicted model, not a curated record. NCBI's taxonomy places the organism in Eukaryota, Metazoa, Chordata, Actinopteri, Pomacentridae. The transcript is spliced from 2 exons.